RNAcentral lists this signal recognition particle RNA (299 nucleotides) under Aotus nancymaae (Ma's night monkey). RNAcentral describes it as "Metazoan signal recognition particle RNA (ENSANAG00000007438.1)". It matches the Rfam family "Metazoan signal recognition particle RNA". From Rfam's summary of the family: The signal recognition particle (SRP) is a universally conserved ribonucleoprotein. Lineage: Eukaryota; Metazoa; Chordata; Mammalia; Primates; Aotidae. The record is from RNAcentral.
GCCGGGCAUGGUGGCGCGUGCCUGCAGUCCCAGCUACUUGGGAGGCUGAGGCUGGAGAAUCUCUUGGGUCCAGGAGUUCUGGGCUGUAGUACGCUAUGCUGAUUGGGUGUCUGCACUAAGUUCGGCAUCAAUAUGGUGACCUCCCGGGAGUAGGGGACCACCAGGUUGCCUAAGGAGGGGUGAACCGGCCCAGAUAGGAAACAGAGCAGGUCAAAACUCCCGUGCUGACCAGUAGCGGGAUCGUGCCUGUGAAUAGCCACUGCACUCCAGCCUGGGCAACAUAGCGAGACCCCAUCUCU